GCUAGCUACAGGCUUAACACAUGCAAGUCCAGGGGCAGCAUGGUCUUAGCUUGCUAAGGCCGAUGGCGACCGGCGCACGGGUGAGUAACACGUAUCCAACCUGCCGUCUACUCUUGGACAGCCUUCUGAAAGGAAGAUUAAUACAAGAUGGCAUCAUGAGUCCGCAUGUUCACAUGAUUAAAGGUAUUCCGGUAGACGUUGGGGAUGCGUUCCAUUAGAUAGUAGGCGGGGUAACGGCCCACCUAGUCUUCGAUGGAUAGGGGUUCUGAGAGGAAGGUCCCCCACAUUGGAACUGAGACACGGUCCAAACUCCUACGGGAGGCAGCAGUGAGGAAUAUUGGUCAAUGGGCGAGAGCCUGAACCAGCCAAGUAGCGUGAAGGAUGACUGCCCUAUGGGUUGUAAACUUCUUUUAUAAAGGAAUAAAGUCGGGUAUGCAUACCCGUUUGCAUGUACUUUAUGAAUAAGGAUCGGCUAACUCCGUGCCAGCAGCCGCGGUAAUACGGAGGAUCCGAGCGUUAUCCGGAUUUAUUGGGUUUAAAGGGAGCGUAGAUGGAUGUUUAAGUCAGUUGUGAAAGUUUGCGGCUCAACCGUAAAAUUGCAGUUGAUACUGGAUACCUUGAGUGCAGUUGAGGCAGGCGGAAUUCGUGGUGUAGCGGUGAAAUGCUUAGAUAUCACGAAGAACUCCGAUUGCGAAGGCAGCCUGCUAAGCUGCAACUGACAUUGAGGCUCGAAAGUGUGGGUAUCAAACAGGAUUAGAUACCCUGGUAGUCCACACGGUAAACGAUGAAUACUCGCUGUUUGCGAUAUACGGCAAGCGGCCAAGCGAAAGCGUUAAGUAUUCCACCUGGGGAGUACGCCGGCAACGGUGAAACUCAAAUGAACUGACGUCCAUUUUCCAUUUCUGCA
Molecule: ribosomal RNA, 907 nt
Filed under: uncultured bacterium
Lineage: Bacteria
Description: bacterial SSU rRNA
Rfam family: Bacterial small subunit ribosomal RNA
Source: RNAcentral